GCCGCUGUAGCUCAGUUGGUCAGAGCAUCCGGCUGUUAACCGGACGGUCAUCGGUUCGAAUCCGAUCAGCGGGG
RNAcentral lists this transfer RNA (74 nucleotides) under Marine Group III euryarchaeote. RNAcentral's name for it is "tRNA-Asn". It matches the Rfam family "tRNA". From Rfam's summary of the family: Transfer RNA (tRNA) molecules are approximately 80 nucleotides in length. Their secondary structure includes four short double-helical elements and three loops (D, anti-codon, and T loops). The record is from RNAcentral. Lineage: Archaea; Methanobacteriati; Thermoplasmatota; Thermoplasmata; Candidatus Thermoprofundales.